RNAcentral lists this ribosomal RNA (919 nucleotides) under uncultured bacterium. RNAcentral describes it as "bacterial SSU rRNA". It matches the Rfam family "Bacterial small subunit ribosomal RNA", at positions 8 to 919 of the family's 1533-position model. The record is from RNAcentral.
AGAGUUUGAUCCUGGCUCAGAUUGAACGCUGGCGGAAUGCUUUACACAUGCAAGUCGAACGGUAACAGCAGAGCUUGCUCUGGCUGACGAGUGGCGGACGGGUGAGUAAUAUAUCGGAACGUGUCCAAUAAUGGGGGAUAACUAGCCGAAAGGUUGGCUAAUACCGCAUACGCCCUGAGGGGGAAAGCUGGGGAUCUUCGGACCUGGCGUUAAUGGAGCGGCCGAUACCUGAUUAGCUAGUAGGUGGGGUAAAAGCCUACCUAGGCAACGAUCAGUAGCUGGUCUGAGAGGACGACCAGCCACACUGGGACUGAGACACGGCCCAGACUCCUACGGGAGGCAGCAGUGGGGAAUUUUGGACAAUGGGGGCAACCCUGAUCCAGCCAUUCCGCGUGAGUGAAGAAGGCCUUCGGGUUGUAAAGCUCUUUCGCAAGAGAAGAAACGAUAUAGGUUAAUAGCCUAUGUUAAUGACGGUAUCUUGAUAAGAAGCACCGGCUAACUACGUGCCAGCAGCCGCGGUAAUACGUAGGGUGCAAGCGUUAAUCGGAAUUACUGGGCGUAAAGCGUACGCAGGCGGUUUGGUAAGUCAGAUGUGAAAUCCCCGAGCUCAACUUGGGAACUGCGUUUGAAACUACCAGACUAGAAUAUGUCAGAGGGGGGUAGAAUUCCACGUGUAGCAGUGAAAUGCGUAGAGAUGUGGAGGAAUACCAAUGGCGAAGGCAGCCCCCUGGGAUAAUAUUGACGCUCAUGUACGAAAGCGUGGGGAGCGAACAGGAUUAGAUACCCUGGUAGUCCACGCCCUAAACGAUGUCAACUAGUUGUUGGUGGAGUAAAAUCCAUGAGUAACGUAGCUAACGCGUGAAGUUGACCGCCUGGGGAGUACGGUCGCAAGAUUAAAACUCAAAUGAAUUGACGGGGG